RNAcentral lists this ribosomal RNA (285 nucleotides) under unidentified microorganism. Its description in RNAcentral is "partial 16S ribosomal RNA". It matches the Rfam family "Bacterial small subunit ribosomal RNA", at positions 1124 to 1408 of the family's 1533-position model. The record is from RNAcentral.
GGCAAGGCUGGGCACUCUGGAGAGACUGCCAGGGAUAACCUGGAGGAAGGUGGGGACGACGUCAAAUCAUCAUGCCCCUUAUGAUCUGGGCGACACACGUGCUACAAUGGCGGUCACAAAGUGAGGCGAACCUGCGAGGGGGAGCAAACCACAAAAAGGCCGUCCCAGUUCGGACUGUAGUCUGCAACCCGACUACACGAAGCUGGAAUCGCUAGUAAUCGCGAAUCAUAAUGUCGCGGUGAAUACUUUCCCGGGUCUUGUACACACCGCCCGUCACACCAUGGG